RNAcentral lists this ribosomal RNA (253 nucleotides) under uncultured bacterium. RNAcentral describes it as "partial 16S ribosomal RNA". It matches the Rfam family "Bacterial small subunit ribosomal RNA", at positions 524 to 776 of the family's 1533-position model. The record is from RNAcentral.
GACGUAGGGUGCAAGCGUUGUCCGGAAUUAUUGGGCGUAAAGAGCUCGUAGGCGGUCUGUCGCGUCGGCUGUGAAAUCCCGAGGCUCAACCUCGGGUCUGCAGUCGAUACGGGCAAACUAGAGUAUUGCAGGGGAGACUGGAAUUCCUGGUGUAGCGGUGAAAUGCGCAGAUAUCAGGAGGAACACCGGUGGCGAAGGCGGGUCUCUGGGCAAUAACUGACGCUGAGGAGCGAAAGCGUGGGGAGCAAACAGG